Molecule: small RNA, 224 nt
Filed under: Serratia sp. FGI94
Lineage: Bacteria; Pseudomonadati; Pseudomonadota; Gammaproteobacteria; Enterobacterales; Yersiniaceae
Description: GlmZ RNA activator of glmS mRNA
Rfam family: Glm Y RNA activator of glmS mRNA (bases 3-171)
About the family: This family consists of a number of bacterial RNA genes of around 167 bases in length. The function of this RNA is unknown.
Source: RNAcentral
GCAGUUGCUCAUUCAACUUUUUAUGACGGCGCCGCCAGAGGGCGGACAACCUGCCUCAUAAGCCUCCGAAUGAUGCCAAAGAAAUGGUGCCUAUCGUCCAACCAAACCGAUAAUUGCCGCUGACGCGACUUUAUCAAGCAUCGGGCGACACGUGGAGUGAGGCACCGCCUGUAUCCAACUGUGAUGAGCCUUUUCAUCAAUUCCGGAUACAUUAGGAUGCUAUU